UAAUACGAAGGGGGCGAGCGUUGUUCGGAAUUACUGGGCGUAAAGGGCGCGUAGGCGGCGCACCAAGUCAGGCGUGAAAGCCCUGGGCUUAACCCAGGAAUUGCGUUUGAGACUGGCGUGCUGGAGUGCAGGAGAGGUCGGCGGAAUUCCCAGUGUAGAGGUGAAAUUCGUAGAGAUUGGGAAGAACACCGGUGGCGUAGGCGGCCGACUGGACUGUAACUGACGCUGAGGCGCGAAAGCGUGGGGAGCAAACAGGAUUAGAUACCCUGGUAGUCCACGCCGUAAACGAUGUGCGCUAGCCGUUGGGGGCCCUAGGCCCUCGGUGGCGCAGCUAACGCAUUAAGCGCACCGCCUGGGGAGUACGGCCGCAAGGUUA
RNAcentral lists this ribosomal RNA (376 nucleotides) under uncultured bacterium. RNAcentral's name for it is "bacterial SSU rRNA". It matches the Rfam family "Bacterial small subunit ribosomal RNA", at positions 521 to 896 of the family's 1533-position model. The record is from RNAcentral.